Molecule: long non-coding RNA, 5569 nt
Organism: Dromiciops gliroides (monito del monte)
Lineage: Eukaryota; Metazoa; Chordata; Mammalia; Microbiotheria; Microbiotheriidae
Exons: 4
Source: RefSeq, a predicted model, not a curated record
AGACCGACCUGGACUCAGCUAUUCUGUCUGAAAUUGGGGAAUCUUUAUUAUCAAUGUUCCUGGAAUGGCUUCUCUGCUACCUUCUCUGGAAUCGAACACUCCUAGAGAAUAUCUCUAAGCCAGAAGAUUAUAAAUUUAGAACUAGAAAGGACCUUAAAAACCAUUAAAUCCAACCUUCUCAUUUUACAGAUUGAUGAACUCCAGACUGUCCUGUGCUCUCCUUACAGUGGGACUUUCUCAGUUUCUCUCUCAAAGGUGGAGUAUUGGGGAUGAAACAGAUUAGGCUGCAACUUUGAAAGAUCUGAAAGGUCAGAGGAACAGAUAUCCCAUGAAAGUAUGAGCAAGGCCCUGAAGAGCAGCCUGCACGUCCCAGAACAACAGUGAAUUGGACCUGAAAGCUAAGACACUGUUUUCUGGAACACCUCAUCUAUCAGCAGUGCCACCUUUAGAAGUGAACUUGGUGUGCAAAUGUUUGCAGCAACUGCUUUAAUUCUGAGCUCUCUUCCUCCAGGGAUUGAGGUGAUAGAUGGGAGAAUGUGCCCUGGUUAAGAGGAAUGGUUUGUACUUAUGUUCUUGCCAAAUCUUCUCAGUAAAUAUGCCUUUAUAAAAGCUAAAAGAAAAAAAAAGCUUCCAUGCCCUAACUUCUCUUAUGUCCCAUAAAGUUGCCACCCUAUGCAAUAUGCUCUAUCCAUUACACCAUCCUUCCUUAAUUAUCUUAUAGACUCUACUUGGUCCCUCCUAUAUAUUAUUCAUAUUACAGUUAAUGGUGCACAUACCUCAUCCACCCUACCAAAUUGUAAACUUCUUCAGAAUAGCCACCACACCUCAUUUCAUUCAUAUGCCUGGCACAUGGUAAGUACUUGAUAAAUGAUUGGUAAAUUAAACUGAAUUCUUCUUAUGUCAUAUAACCAAUAUGAUUGCCAUAUAGAUUGACAUUAAGAGGGUCCAUUUUUUGUCUGCAAUCAGAAUCUAGAAGCUUUACUUUCCUUGGUAUCAAGACAUGGUUCCUUUGAGAAGAAUGAUUCAGAAGCUGGGCAGAUUUGGGGGUCAUCCUGUCCAAUAGCUUUAAUAUACUAGGCUUAUCUUUGGGUGUGGAAGGAAAACACAACAUUAAAAAAACCAAAACCUUCCAUUAUCAGUUGCAAAUUCCAUUAAAAAGUACAGACAAAUUUGAAAUAUCUCUUUGUAGUGAGACAUUCUGUCAAAUCGUAUGUAUGUGGUUUGGGAUGGAGCUCAGUGAAGUUAAAGAAAAAAUACCUAAUGUAACAUGGGGAUGGGGAAAAUGUGGCUCAGUGCAAUCUAAUGAUGAAAUGUAAUACCACUUUUUUGUCUGAUCUCAUGGCUGUAGAAACUGGAGAAAUGAAGAUGUCACUGUUGGUGAUGUACUUCUGAGGUGACAGGGACUGGUAGUCUCUGAGGUUCUCUUUCACUUAAAUCAUUUGGGGUUCUCAUCUUUUCAGGUGCCUGUGCUUUUAUUAAUUUGGGGCACAUUGGAAGUACUUACCCCUAAUUUCACUUUACACUUUGAAGCAUACUAGAUUUUAGUUGAAGACUCCCCAAAUUUCACAUUGAAAGUAUUCCAAUGACUACUACUAUCAGAAAAUGGGGAGAAGGGGGAGUGCAUUGAUCUCUUAGUAACACUGUCUUAACAUUCCUAUAAUGGCCAAUAGUGACUGAUUUUUUCUUUUUUUUUUCUUUUUUUUUUAGUGAGGCAAUUGGGGUUAAGUGACUUGCCCAGGGUCACACAGCUAGUAAGUGUUAAGUGUCUGAGGCCGGAUUUGAACUCAGGUACUCCUGAUUCUAGGGCCGGUGCUCUAUCCACUGUGCCAUCUAGCUGCCCAUCUAGCUGUGACUGAUUUUUUAAAACAACAUUAACUAUUUCAUUGUUAUAUGAAGUUCUUAGUAAGGAACAUAAAGUCAGAAAGUUAUCUGGGGAAUAUUGAAAGAUUGAGUGAAAUACCCAGGUUCCAGGAUGGGUCAGAAUCAGGACUUAAACUUACAUUUUCCUGACUCAGGAGCUGGCUCUCUUUGGCUUUCCAUAUGGCUAAAAAGUUAUUUUGUUUUUUCUUAAAUUCUGACCCACAGAAAUAAUUUGCACUUUCAUAUUCCAAUAGAAACCACUGUUCUAUAUGAACAUUUACUUCUGCUUAUAUUAGAGCUGGUGCAUAUUCCCAAAGCAAAUUUACAAGGUAGAUAAUAAAGAUAAAGAUUAUACCCAUGAUUUUAGCAUUAUAAGGAUUUCCCACAUGAGGAAGGUCAGUGCCUUCUCUGCAGUUUUUAGAGAAAUGUGAGAAUAAGUGACUUGUCCAAAUGAGAGUCAAUAUGUACAAGAAGACAGACUUAACCCAAACCUUUCUGGAUUCAAGGACAACUAUACUAUGCCAUGCUGCCUCUUCCAUCAAUCAAUUAAUAGACAUUUAUUAAGUGUCUUCUCUGUGGCAGGUACUAUGCUAAGGACUAGGGAUACAAAAAGACAGCUCCUUGCCCUCAAGGAGCUAACAAUUUAAUGGGAGAGAUUGUUGUCCUUGGUUGUUCUUCGUUCUCAAAGAAGACCACCAGAGUGAUGUCACAACUUGCAAUGAAGUAGCUUUAAAUGAGGGAGGCUGUGCAAACUCACUCUCCUCCAGAGCCAUCUGGGUCCAAUGGCAAGACAUACAUCAGGACAACUGGAGAUGGCCCUACAUGUUUGAGGCAAUCGGGAUUAAGUGACUAGCCCAGAAUCAUACAGCUAAGUAAGUGUCUGAGGCCAGAUUUGACCUCCAGUUCUUCUGAUUCCAGGGCCAGAGCUCUAUCCACUCACUGCACCACCUGGCUGCCAUAAUAAGGGAGAUAAUAUGUGACAAAUAUACAAAGCAAGCUAUAAAUGUGAUAAAAGGGGAAUAAUUCACAAAGGCAAGGGAAUGAAAUUAAGAGGGCACAAGGAAAGCUUCCAAUCAAAGGUGGAAUUAUAGUUGGAAUUUAGGCAAUCAGGAAGUUCAGUAGUCAGAGUGGAGAAGGAAUAGCAUUCUAAACAUGGAAGACAACCAGAGAAAAUGUCCAGGACCAAGAGAUUGCAUGUCUUGUUCAUAGAACAGCCCAGAGGUCAGUGUCAUGGGAUCGAAGAGUAUGUGUCAGGGAGUAAGGGAUAAGAAUAUUGAAAAGAUAGGAGGGGGAUAGUUGAUGAAGAACCUUGAAUGCCCAUUGGAGCAUUUUGUAUUUGAUCCUGGAGACAAUAGGAAGAGCCACUGGAGUUUAUUCCAUAGGGGGAUGACAUGAUCAGACUUAGGUUUUAGGAAAAUAAUUUUUUGUGAUUCAAUGGGGGAUGGAUUAGGAUGGGGAGAAAUUUAAGGAAGGAAGAUUCCCCUCAGGCUUUUGCAAUAAUCCCGGUGUAGGGUGAUGAGGACCUGGCCUAGAAUUGUGACAGUCAGAAGAGAGAAAACGGCAUAUUCAAGAGCUGUUUUAAAAGUGAAAUCAAUAAACCUUGGCAACAGUUUGGAGACAAGGGUGAGAGAUAGUGAGGAUUCCAGGAUGACUCCUAGAGUCAUCUUGAGAAACUGGGAGUUUAGUGUUAUCCUCUAAAGUAAAAGGGAUGGUGGGCAACUCUUUGGCACAGUGCACAGAGCACUGGCCCUGAAGUCAGGAGGACCUAAGUUCAAAUCAAAACCCUGUUGUCAUGGUCCUCUUCAAAAAUGAAGGACAAACAACAAUAGGGAAACUAGCAGGUAGGGAGGGUUUAGUAGGAAAGAUGAGUUCCAUUUUGGAUAAAGUGAAUUUAAAAUGUGAUAAUAAGGAAAGAGCAAAAGUAAUUUGGACUCCCCAAGUGCCCCAAUUAUUUACAAAUGAAGUCUUACAAUGCUUUAUGAACUCUUUAAAAAGAAAUAUAAAGACAAACACCUUAUCUGAUGUUGUAGAGCUGAAUAAGGAACAACACAUUAGACUAUGAACUAUUUGAGAUAAAGAACUGUCUUGCCCUUCUUUGAAUCCCUAGCACUUAGCACAGUUGUUAUGCAGCAGACAUUUAUUAAGUGCUAGUUGACUGACUGACAUGGAAAUGGUUCAUUUCCUGCCUCAUCAUCUCCUUAACUGUAGAUCAUUUCCAUAAACCAGGUAGAAAUGAAGAACUUGUCUUAGUUUUUUUUUAAAGGUUCACUGAAAAGUUUCAAUUCACACAAUCACCAGCAAAAACACAUAAUGAUGUUGUUGAGUUUCAGCAAGGACAAUAUAAUUUUUCAAAAUACUGUUACACCAUAAUAUAUUCUAUAGAACCCACAAAACUUACGUUGACAUAAUCCACAUAUUGCAAUGCCACUCCUCACCCUUACAUAAUUAUGUUUCACUAGUUCGGGAGUGUGCUGGACUCAGCUUGAACUGACUCAUAAGAGCAAAUUAUUAAAUUUUCUGUGAGGAAAUUUACACCAUGUAAAUUGACAAAUGUUACAAAUUAGGGUUUGGCUUAAUGUUGUGUUGAUUGUCUAGACUUAAGAAAGUAAUGAAGAAAAUAUUAGUAAUGCAGAUCAAACUUGAAAGUGAGGCAUGUGUAUAUUUUCCCCAGAGAGCCAGUUGUUAAGUAUUACCAUACACCUUUGCACUUGCUAUUCUUCUUUUACUUUUUUCUAAAUUAAAAGGCAAUCCCUCAGCAGUGAAUUCUUAAACAAGGGAGAGAAGUGAUCAGAAAAGAUAAAAUCAUGUGAUUGCAUUAAAUUGAAAAGCUUUUGCAUGAACAAAAUUAAUUGAUUGGGGGAUUGACAAAAUAUAUUUGAUUGAUAUAUUGAUAAAAAACUAUAUAAAUAUAGUUACUGUGCUAUAAGAAGUAAAGAAUACAGAAGUGGACAGGGGACUAUAGAUGUAGAAUACUGCUUAUGAUGACAAUUUUUUUUGAAGAGUUGGUUGGGUUUUCUGGGCUUUUCCCCUCUUUUUUUAUUCCUGGUUAUAAGUGAUGGCUCUCUGGGAGGAGGAGGACAAAAGGGUACAGUGGGAAAUUUAGGUGAUAUCAAAACAAAACAAAACAACAAAAUUAAUUUUUUUAAAUGGUCCUCAACAUUUUUUUUAGCUCUGGGCUUAUAAUUUUUUUUAUCAAAAGUUACCAAAAGGUUAAUAUUUGAGUGGUAUGAAUAUAUGAUAUUUUUAUAAUUAUCUAAACAAAAGUUCCUUUUCAUUAAUUGGGAUUCCUUUUAUAUAGUCUUUGUGUUUAUUCAUCUAUGUAUUUGUGGUUUUGUUCUAGUAGAAUAUAAGCUCCUUGAGGGCAGGGGAUGUUUCAUUUUUGUCUUUUUGUUUUGUCUUUUUUUUUCAUGCCUUUCAUAUAAGUAUUUAAUAAAUCCUUAUUCAAUUAGACUUAAUGAGAUAUUGCAGAAUUGUGUGCACAUUAAUUUUAUUUCAGUUCCUAUGUCCAAUGCAUUUGUGGAAAGGUAUAAAUUCAUGAUGAAAUAGAUCAAGAACUGUGAGAGUUUGUUAUAGAUCCAUAUAUUAUCAUUAAAAACAACUUCUGAAGCUCAACUAUUAUUCAGGCUUGCUGAAUAAAUGGGAUAUUGUUAAGCCUUUGUCUAACAAUGACUCUUUCUCUUCUGAGGAUCCCAACACUGUUUUAAUUCAA